GUUGAUUUACCAGCAUGACAGUUUCAUAUGCAAUAUGUUAUGCAAUAAUGCAAAAUGUUAUGCAAUAAUGUUGGUUUUUAAUGCAAUCUUUACAAAAAAUGUUAUUACAUCAUAUGGGACAAUUUGCUUCUUAUGUCCAUGGCACAAAUGAGAGGUAUAGCAGUAAGCAUGAUUUUGAAACAGCUGUCAUGAGCUUUGUUAAUAGUUAUAUCAUAUUCAAUUCCCCUCAGUUACCAUGUAUGCAUGUGCAAGCAACAUUGGUAAGGAAGGAUUCGUGAACUUCCUGGAUAAACUUUUGGUGUUCACAGAGCACCGCAGAGGAGGACCUUAAUAAUUAAAAAUAAAAAAAUAAAGACUGAUAAAAACAAGAUUAACGGAUUCAACAGACUUUUUCAUAUCGUUCUAAUUUCUUCUACCUACUCUUACUCAGCGAUCAGCGGCAUUUUAUUUUGCUGAAAUAAUUUAUAGGACUUACAUAUGUCAAUCUAA
This is a non-coding RNA of Hydra vulgaris (swiftwater hydra), 489 nucleotides long. Lineage: Eukaryota; Metazoa; Cnidaria; Hydrozoa; Anthoathecata; Hydridae. The record is from RefSeq and is a predicted model, not a curated record.